AGAUGAUGUUAAGGGCAAUUUUUUCACAUUCCUUUAUAUUUUUCCCAUGCUUCAUAUAAUUAUUCACCAAAAUUUAUUGGAAGUAUGUGGUAUUUUUUUUCAAUCU
Small nucleolar RNA from Lactuca sativa (garden lettuce), 106 nucleotides. The record is from RefSeq and is a predicted model, not a curated record. Lineage: Eukaryota; Viridiplantae; Streptophyta; Magnoliopsida; Asterales; Asteraceae.